RNAcentral lists this ribosomal RNA (492 nucleotides) under uncultured bacterium. RNAcentral's name for it is "partial 16S ribosomal RNA". It matches the Rfam family "Bacterial small subunit ribosomal RNA", at positions 29 to 507 of the family's 1533-position model. The record is from RNAcentral.
AUUGAACGCUGGCGGCAUGCUUUACACAUGCAAGUCGAACGGUAACAGGCCUUCGGGUGCUGACGAGUGGCGCACGGGUGAGUAAUGCAUCGGAACGUACCCAGAGGUGGGGGAUAACGCAGCGAAAGCUGUGCUAAUACCGCAUGUGAUCUGAGGAUGAAAGCGGGGGACCGAGCAGCAAUGUUUGGCCUCGCGCCUUUGGAGCGGCCGAUGUCGGAUUAGCUAGUUGGUGGGGUAAAGGCCUACCAAGGCGACGAUCCGUAGCUGGUCUGAGAGGACGACCAGCCACACUGGGACUGAGACACGGCCCAGACUCCUACGGGAGGCAGCAGUGGGGAAUGUUGGACAAUGGGCGCAAGCCUGAUCCAGCAAUGCCGCGUGAGGGAAGAAGGCCUUCGGGUUGUAAACCGCUUUUGGCAGGAACGAAACGGUGUCCGCUAAUACCGGGCGCUAAUGACGGUACCUGCAGAAUAAGCACCGGCUAACUACGUG